Molecule: ribosomal RNA, 398 nt
Filed under: uncultured bacterium
Lineage: Bacteria
Description: bacterial SSU rRNA
Rfam family: Bacterial small subunit ribosomal RNA
Source: RNAcentral
GGGAUAUUGGACAAUGGGCGAAAGCCUGAUCCAGCAAUGCCGCGUGAGUGAUGAAGGCCUUAGGGUUGUAAAGCUCUUUUACCAGGGAUGCUAAUGACCGUACCUGGAGAAUAAGCUCCGGCUAACUCCGUUCCAGCAGCCGCGGUAAUACGGAGGGAGCUAGCGUUGUUCGGAAUGAGUGGGCGUAAAGCGCGCGUAGGCGGCGAUCCAAGUCAGGGGUGAAAUCCCGGGGCUCAACCCCGGAACUGCCUCUGAAACUAGAUUGCUAGAAUCCUGGAGAGGCGAGUGGAAUUCCGAGUGUAGAGGUGAAAUUCGUAGAUAUUCGGAAGAACACCAGUGGCGAAGGCGACUCGCUGGACAGGUAUUGACGCUGAGGUGCGAAAGCGUGGGGAGCAAAC